Molecule: ribosomal RNA, 523 nt
Filed under: uncultured bacterium
Lineage: Bacteria
Description: bacterial SSU rRNA
Rfam family: Bacterial small subunit ribosomal RNA
Source: RNAcentral
UACGGGAGGCAGCAGUGGGGAAUUUUGGACAAUGGGCGCAAGCCUGAUCCAGCCAUGCCGCGUGUCUGAAGAAGGCCUCGGUUGUAAGGACUUUUGUCAGGGAGCAAAACUUACUGGUUAAUACCUGGUGAGGUUGAGAGUACCUGAAGAAUAAGCACCGGCUAACUACGUGCCAGCAGCCGCGGUAAUACGUAGGGUGCAAGCGUUAAUCGGAAUUACUGGGCGUAAAGCGUGCGCAGGCGGACUUUUAAGCCAGAUGUGAAAGCCCCGAGCUUAACUUGGGAAUUGCGUUUGGAACUGGGAGUCUAGAGUCUGUCAGAGGGGGAUGGAAUUCCACGUGUAGCAGUGAAAUGCGUAGAGAUGUGGAGGAACACCGAUGGCGAAGGCAGUCCCCUGGGAUAAGACUGACGCUCAUGCACGAAAGCGUGGGGAGCAAACAGGAUUAGAUACCCUGGUAGUCCACGCCCUAAACGAUGUCUACUAGUUGUUGGGGUAGCAAUACCUCAGUGACGCAGCUAACGCG